AGAGUUUGAUCCUGGCUCAGGAUGAACGCUAGCUACAGGCUUAACACAUGCAAGUCGAGGGGCAGCAUGGUCUUAGCUUGCUAAGGCCGAUGGCGACCGGCGCACGGGUGAGUAACGCGUAUCCAACCUGCCUUACACUCUUGGACAGCCUUCUGAAAGGGAGAUUAAUACAAGAUGUUAUCAUGAGUAAGCAUUUUCGCAUGAUUAAAGGUUUACCGGUGUAAGAUGGGGAUGCGUUCCAUUAGAUAGUAGGCGGGGUAACGGCCCACCUAGUCUUCGAUGGAUAGGGGUUCUGAGAGGAAGGUCCCCCACAUUGGAACUGAGACACGGUCCAAACUCCUACGGGAGGCAGCAGUGAGGAAUAUUGGUCAAUGGACGAGAGUCUGAACCAGCCAAGUAGCGUGAAGGAUGAAGGUUCUAUGGAUUGUAAACUUCUUUUAUACGGGAAUAAACGAAUCCACGCGUGGAUUUUUGCAUGUACCGUAUGAAUAAGGAUCGGCUAACUCCGUGCCAGCAGCCGCGGUAAUACGGAGGAUCCGAGCGUUAUCCGGAUUUAUUGGGUUUAAAGGGAGCGUAGAUGGGUUGUUAAGUCAGUUGUGAAAGUUUGCGGCUCAACCGUAAAAUUGCAAUUGAUACUGGCAGUCUUGAGUACAGUUGAGGUAGGCGGAAUUCGUGGUGUAGCGGUGAAAUGCUUAGAUAUCACGAAGAACUCCGAUUGCGAAGGCAGCUUACUAACCUGUAACUGACAUUGAUGCUCGAAAGUGUGGGUAUCAAACAGGAUUAGAUACCCUGGUAGUCCACACGGUAAACGAUGAAUACUCGCUGUAGGCGAUAUACAGUCUGCGGCCAAGCGAAAGCAUUAAGUAUUCCACCUGGGGAGUACGCCGGCAACGGUGAAACUCAAAGGAAUUGACGGGGGCCCGCACAAGCGGAGGAACAUGUGGUUUAAUUCGAUGAUACGCGAGGAACCUUACCCGGGCUUAAAUUGCAACCGAAUAUGGCGGAAACGCUAUAGCUAGCAAUAGCGGUUGUGAAGGUGCUGCAUGGUUGUCGUCAGCUCGUGCCGUGAGGUGUCGGCUUAAGUGCCAUAACAAGCGCAACCCUUGCCGAUAGUUACUAACAGGUCAUGCUGAGGACUCUGUCGGGACUGCCAUCGUAAGAUGUGAGGAAGGUGGGGAUGACGUCAAAUCAGCACGGCCCUUACGUCCGGGGCUACACACGUGUUACAAUGGGGGGUACAGAGGGCUGCUACCACGCAAGUGGAUGCCGAUCCCAAAAACCUCUCUCAGUUCGGAUUGAAGUCUGCAACCCGACUUCAUGAAGCUGGAUUCGCUAGUAAUCGCGCAUCAGCCACGGCGCGGUGAAUACGUUCCCGGGCCUUGUACACACCGCCCGUCAAGCCAUGGGAGCCGGGGGUACCUGAAGUGCGUAACCGCAAGGAGCGCCCUAGGGUAAAACUGGUGACUGGGGCUAAGUCGUAACAAGGUAGCC
RNAcentral lists this ribosomal RNA (1491 nucleotides) under uncultured bacterium. RNAcentral's name for it is "16S ribosomal RNA". It matches the Rfam family "Bacterial small subunit ribosomal RNA". The record is from RNAcentral.